AGAGUUUGAUCCUGGCUCAGGACGAACGCUGGCGGCGUGCCUAAUACAUGCAAGUCGAGCGAGCAGAACCAGCAGAUUUACUUCGGUAAUGACGCUGGGGACGCGAGCGGCGGAUGGGUGAGUAACACGUGGGGAACCUGCCCCAUAGUCUAGGAUACCACUUGGAAACAGGUGCUAAUACCGGAUAAUAAAGCAGAUCGCAUGAUCAGCUUAUAAAAGGCGGCGUAAGCUGUCGCUAUGGGAUGGCCCCGCGGUGCAUUAGCUAGUUGGUAAGGUAACGGCUUACCAAGGCAAUGAUGCAUAGCCGAGUUGAGAGACUGAACGGCCACAUUGGGACUGAGACACGGCCCAAACUCCUACGGGAGGCAGCAGUAGGGAAUCUUCCACAAUGGACGCAAGUCUGAUGGAGCAACGCCGCGUGAGUGAAGAAGGUUUUCGGAUCGUAAAGCUCUGUUGUUGGUGAAGAAGGAUAGAGGUAGUAACUGGCCUUUAUUUGACGGUAAUCAACCAGAAAGUCACGGCUAACUACGUGCCAGCAGCCGCGGUAAUACGUAGGUGGCAAGCGUUGUCCGGAUUUAUUGGGCGUAAAGCGAGCGCAGGCGGAAGAAUAAGUCUGAUGUGAAAGCCCUCGGCUUAACCGAGGAAUUGCAUCGGAAACUGUUUUUCUUGAGUGCAGAAGAGGAGAGUGGAACUCCAUGUGUAGCGGUGGAAUGCGUAGAUAUAUGGAAGAACACCAGUGGCGAAGGCGGCUCUCUGGUCUGCAACUGACGCUGAGGCUCGAAAGCAUGGGUAGCGAACAGGAUUAGAUACCCUGGUAGUCCAUGCCGUAAACGAUGAGUGCUAAGUGUUGGGAGGUUUCCGCCUCUCAGUGCUGCAGCUAACGCAUUAAGCACUCCGCCUGGGGAGUACGACCGCAAGGUUGAAACUCAAAGGAAUUGACGGGGGCCCGCACAAGCGGUGGAGCAUGUGGUUUAAUUCGAAGCAACGCGAAGAACCUUACCAGGUCUUGACAUCUAGUGCCAUCCUAAGAGAUUAGGAGUUCCCUUCGGGGACGCUAAGACAGGUGGUGCAUGGCUGUCGUCAGCUCGUGUCGUGAGAUGUUGGGUUAAGUCCCGCAACGAGCGCAACCCUUAUUAUUAGUUGCCAGCAUUAAGUUGGGCACUCUAAUGAGACUGCCGGUGACAAACCGGAGGAAGGUGGGGAUGACGUCAAGUCAUCAUGCCCCUUAUGACCUGGGCUACACACGUGCUACAAUGGGCAGUACAACGAGAAGCGAGCCUGCGAAGGCAAGCGAAUCUCUGAAAGCUGUUCUCAGUUCGGACUGCAGUCUGCAACUCGACUGCACGAAGCUGGAAUCGCUAGUAAUCGCGGAUCAGAACGCCGCGGUGAAUACGUUCCCGGGCCUUGUACACACCGCCCGUCACACCAUGGAAGUCUGCAAUGCCCAAAGCCGGUGGCCUAACCUUCGGGAAGGAGCCGUCUAAGGCAGGGCAGAUGACUGGGGUGAAGUCGUAACAAGGUAGCCGUAGGAGAACCUGCGGCUGGAUCACCUCCUUUCUA
RNAcentral lists this ribosomal RNA (1560 nucleotides) under Lactobacillus helveticus. RNAcentral's name for it is "bacterial SSU rRNA". It matches the Rfam family "Bacterial small subunit ribosomal RNA". The record is from RNAcentral. Lineage: Bacteria; Bacillati; Bacillota; Bacilli; Lactobacillales; Lactobacillaceae.